RNAcentral lists this transfer RNA (71 nucleotides) under Tridacna derasa. Its description in RNAcentral is "tRNA-Met". The record is from RNAcentral. Lineage: Eukaryota; Metazoa; Mollusca; Bivalvia; Cardiida; Cardiidae.
AAGGGGAUAGGAUAAGGUAAUCUCCUGGGCUCAUCCCCCUGUGAUACUGUCUUAGUAAGCAGUUCCCCUUU